RNAcentral lists this long non-coding RNA (2775 nucleotides) under Nicotiana benthamiana. RNAcentral's name for it is "long non-coding RNA (NBEN_LNC025299)". The record is from RNAcentral. Lineage: Eukaryota; Viridiplantae; Streptophyta; Magnoliopsida; Solanales; Solanaceae.
GCUAACUAUGAUCUUUUAGCGUUAUUCUUAUAGCCGGUAAAUUUGAUUAAAAUGCCACAAAAAGUCGGUAGUUUUAACAAUAAUUAUUUAUAGUAAUUGAAAUGGCUACAAUAUAUGUUGUGAAAACAUCUUAAUUGAUCCCAUUAGUGACCAUUUUUAUGGCAAGAAAAUUCAAUUAAAUUGUCGCUAAAAUUCACAAGCUUUAACGAUAAUUGUUUAGCUGUCGUUAACAAUGCUACUACGUUCGUCCAGAAAAUAUUACUAGUAAAAGUAACUUACUAAAUCUAAAACAAACAAAAGAAAAGAGUAAACCAAAAUAAUAACGUCACAACUUAAAAGCAAAACUUAUAUUGUUCGUACUAAUAUAACAAAUCCUAUCAAUAAUGACUUCAAAUAAUUUCCGCAACUCUUCAUCAUAUUGAAAUCUUUCACAUGCGAAAUUUUCGAACAUCAAAACAUAUGACCUGAAAUAAUAAAAUAAAUGCAUCAAAAUAUAAAAUUUCAUGUAUAUAAACAUCGCAAGUAGUGUGAAUAAUCUGAUAUUACAAGCAAGAAACAUUCAGUAACAAGGAAACUUAUUCUUUCAUAUGGUCUAAUGAGCCUAGGAUUACAAUUUCUAUCAUGAAGCUAACUAUUCUUGCAAAAGAGGUGGUGAAGUUCCCAAGUAAGAGUUCUAAUAUAUUGUAAAAUUGUCUAAGAUUAAUUAAUCAGUAUCGUGAAUGAUAUUAGAUUUUCUUUAACUUAUUAUAUUAUAGUUACCGGUGAUUAACCUUAGAAAAUUCGUACAAAUAAAUAGAAGUGACAAGUAUUCAGAACUAAGGCAGACUCAUAAUCUUGUAGAAUUAAACAAGUGAAUAUUACGGGUUAAGAAGAAUAUUCGCAAAAUAUGGCACACGAAACAAAGGAAUAUCUAAAAAUAAUUAAGAGAUGUACUCAACUAAUAACUGCAUGCCAGCACAACUUUAAUUGUCAAACUUAAUGAAUGACACAUCUUUUAUGAUCUAAACUAUGCACACAAAGAUAAAUACCCGAUCUCUUUUAUGUUUGAAUUGGAGAAUAUACAUAUAUAACUCAUUAAGCGCCAAGAUUCAGCAUUACAGAGGACAAAAAAUAAUCAAAUAAAAGUAAAACCAAACUAGACAUUCAUAUCUUCACUAUUUUAAAGGGUAGACAGAAUUCUGGCCUAAAAAGUAAUAGGCAUGAACAUGGACAGUCCAGUGCAAUAAUUUCUUAUUAUACGUGGGAUCUGGAGAAGGGCCAGACCACAAAAGCUUAUUGUACGCAGCCUUAUUUUGCAUUUCUAUAAAAAAUUAUUUCCACGAAAGUAACUUUACCAGUUACUGUAAGGCUCCUUAAAAUGUAAUAGGUAAAGAAACAUAAAUCAUAAGCACAUAAUCUAAGAUACAAAAAAUAAAUUUUAGAAGUCGAUAAUAAAAUAAAUUACAGAAGUUAACUGCCUCUACAAUAAGCUCUAUAUAAUGAAAAACACCGAGGUUAAUUAUGUAUAAAAUUCAAGUUGGGAUAGGUCAUAGCUUUUGAUUAUUUUGACACACUUUAGUUUUUUCAUUUCAUGACUAGAAGGGGCCAUUAAUAGUUUAGGCAUUAAAACAAUCAAUAGUUAAAAUACUACAAUUAAACCAUAACGGUAUAUAUGUUCAAUGAAAAUAAUUAAUACUGCUCAAUUAUAUUUUCUUACUUCCUAUUGACUAUAAAAUAAAUAUUUAGCUAAUAGUGUGUAAUGUUAGGCAUAAUAAUGAAAAGUUUAAUGUUUAUACACUAAUAUUGUAAACUUCCUUUUAAUGUUAUCAUAUCAUAUAAAUGUAAUUAAAAUUAAUUGUUUCUACUAAGUAAAACAAAUAACUUAAAUAAAGUAAGUAAUUAUUAACAGACAAGAAGAACCCUUAUUUUAGCCCUUUCAGCAGAAUAAAAAAUUGAAAGGAUUUAAAAGACAAGAAGAAGGUAAAUUUGGCAGAGACGAUGGGAAAAUUACCGUAUCUCUGUAAGGUCAUUUAAUUUUGUGUAAAUACUCUUAUCAAAAUUUAAUUUUUUGUUCCACAUCAAAGAUUCCAUUCUCUGUAUCUGCACCCCCACCUCACCAAAAAGUUCCAUCUCCAUCAUUGUAAUCUUCACACUAAGAUAUGGAAUUAAGCAUUUAUCAGUUAGAUCUUAUGCUAUAUGACAAAAAUUGUUAAUCCUUACCAACAAUGAUUCAGAUCGAAGAGGCAAUUUACAAGUAAAAUAGAACUAGUAAUUUAAUUACUUAGUCAAUGAUAAUUGGAGUCAAAGUAGACUAAUUAACAAUAUGAUGGCAAUCUAGUUAAGACAAAGAACAAAAAUAAUUUGUUCAAUGAACACUCUACGAAACAAGAAAAAAAAAUCAAAAAUUUCUUCCCCACAAGUUUCAAUUACAACCAAAAUGUGAAGAGACAAAGAGAACAAAGAGAUUACUUGGUAAUUGUUCGAGAGAUGACCUGGGGGCCGACGACUAUGAGAGAGAUGAGUCACGAAACCCUAGGUUCUGUGGCUUACUAUGGUAAAGAGAACCCUUAUGCAAAUUGGGCGUAAUUUUAUUUGUGCGAUAGUGGGAGGGAAUAUUUUACAGGGUGAAAAAUAUUGGAGGGAGGACAAAAAAUCUAUAAAAGUUAGCAUUUGUUAUAAAUAGACUUCUAUUUAAGGUGAAUGUCUAUAAUUAGAAAGAUUCUAGAGUUUUAUUCUUGGUAGCUAAGUCACUACCUCCCUAUAAAUAAAGGGGUCUUCUACCAUUGUAAAUCAUCC